This is a long non-coding RNA of Brassica napus (rape), 1386 nucleotides long. RefSeq lists it as uncharacterized. Lineage: Eukaryota; Viridiplantae; Streptophyta; Magnoliopsida; Brassicales; Brassicaceae. The record is from RefSeq and is a predicted model, not a curated record. The transcript is spliced from 4 exons.
GAUUAGAGUUUCAUUCUUUUCGUUCUUCCAGUUUCUUUCUCGCCGUCAACGGUUAACUUAAUCUGCAAACCCAAAGAUUUUUCCUUUCAUCUCUUAACCUCCCCUAUCAUUCAACGUAUCUUAAUUUCACCAAUAAUUUUUUUUUUUUUGUAACUGGCUUCAAUUUCACCAAUAAUUGUUAUCCACAUUUCACUUAGUUACCAUUUCAACCUCUUUGGAUUCUUCAUGACAAAUCUAUAAAUAGGAGAAAUACAUUGAACGAUGUCGACCUCUCCGUUAUGGACGUAUGGUAUCUUAAGAGUUGAAUUUUGCAGGUACAACACAAUCAGAAAUAUCAAAAGCUUCACGGAAAGAAUCAAAGGCAGUGGAUCUCAGAGGACCUAUGAAUGCUUAUCUCGCAUUGUCAUCACCUGCAGUGAGUUUCAUCUAAACAUGGAGAUUUGAUCGUAUCCUUCUCGUCUCUUUAGAGCUGUAAGUUUUUUUUUUCUUUUUUUUUUCUGGCCUUUUUAUUCUUGAUCGUUGUACAUAAUCUCAGCCUCUUUCUCAAAACUGGUCUCUUCUCUAAGAUUUGUGUCACUACGAGAAUUAUGUGAUUCGCGGUUCCAACUCUAUUGAGCAGGUAACACCCAUUCUUUAAACAUAUUUUAGUACUCUUAUGUUGUUCCAGAAUAGACUCAACUCAACUAAGGUUAGCACUGUUGUCCUCCUCAAGACACAUGAAACUGAUUUUGUUUUCAAGUCUUAAAAUUGUUGGUCAGAUUUUUGGUGUCCUCCAACAAAAUGGCUGGUCCGUUGUUUGUUGCACAACUUGUAGUAGGAAGCUUACAAAGGAAACCGAUGUGUUUCUUCCACCUUGACAGGAGUCAUCAGGUUCUGUGUUGAACUAGGUAUUGUUGACGGAAGGGACAGACAACAGAGAUGACAAAACUCAUCAAGGAGGUAGCAAGUCUGACUCUUGAGGAAUUAGUAGCGGUGAGGAAAUGGAGCUACCAAAAUGUCCUUUUCAAGCUACAGCCUCACUCCAAAUCACUGUACGUUCACAGUCUCAGCAAUCAGUGAAGCUUCACAUCUUAUUUGGCACUCAGGCAGAGGUAGGACGAACAAUAUAUAGAAUCUGCCAGCAACAUAUAUGAUGCGCCAAAGGUUUCACUGAGAGUUGGUGAAGCAAGUCUGCAAGGUUCUGCAGCCGACGAUAACAAAUCCCCCCUGAGUGAUUCUCGCAAGGCCAUCUAACCGUCGACCUCUCUGUUUUAAUUAUCUAUUUCUAAGUGUUUUCUCUACUUUGAAGUGUGAAGUUUGGUUCUCUUUGAUUUGAUGUACACUAUUUCUUACCGGUGUAAAAAUUACUAUGACUUUAAUAAUAAAAGGAGUUUGUUUAAAAAAAAA